This 485-nucleotide ribosomal RNA is filed under the name uncultured bacterium. RNAcentral's name for it is "partial 16S ribosomal RNA". It matches the Rfam family "Bacterial small subunit ribosomal RNA", at positions 27 to 507 of the family's 1533-position model. The record is from RNAcentral.
GAUUGAACGCUGGCGGCAGGCCUAACACAUGCAAGUCGAGCGGAUGAAGGGAGCUUGCUCCUGGAUUCAGCGGCGGACGGGUGAGUAAUGCCUAGGAAUCUGCCCGGUAGUGGGGGAUAACGUCCGGAAACGGGCGCUAAUACCGCAUACGUCCUGAGGGAGAAAGUGGGGGAUCUUCGGACCUCACGCUAUCAGAUGAACCUAGGUCGGAUUAGCUAGUUGGUGGGGUAAAGGCCUACCAAGGCGACGAUCCGUAACUGGUCUGAGAGGAUGAUCAGUCACACUGGAACUGAGACACGGUCCAGACUCCUACGGGAGGCAGCAGUGGGGAAUAUUGGACAAUGGGCGAAAGCCUGAUCCAGCCAUGCCGCGUGUGUGAAGAAGGUCUUCGGAUUGUAAAGCACUUUAAGUUGGGAGGAAGGGCAGUAAGUUAAUACCUUGCUGUUUUGACGUUACCAACAGAAUAAGCACCGGCUAACUUCGUG